This 468-nucleotide ribosomal RNA is filed under the name uncultured bacterium. Its description in RNAcentral is "partial 16S ribosomal RNA". It matches the Rfam family "Bacterial small subunit ribosomal RNA", at positions 28 to 507 of the family's 1533-position model. The record is from RNAcentral.
GACGAACGCUGGCGGCGUGCUUAACACAUGCAAGUCGAACGGAAAGGCCCUGCUUUUGUGGGGUGCUCGAGUGGCGAACGGGUGAGUAACACGUGAGUAACCUGCCCUUGACUUUGGGAUAACUUCAGGAAACUGGGGCUAAUACCGGAUAGGAGCUCCUGCUGCAUGGUGGGGGUUGGAAAGUUUCGGCGGUUGGGGAUGGACUCGCGGCUUAUCAGCUUGUUGGUAGGGUAGUGGCUUACCAAGGCUUUGACGGGUAGCCGGCCUGAGAGGGUGACCGGCCACAUUAGGACUGAGAUACGGACCAGACUCCUACGGGAGGCAGCAGUGGGGAAUAUUGCACAAUGGGCGGAAGCCUGAUGCAGCAACGCCGCGUGCGGGAUGACGGCCUUCGGGUUGUAAACCGCUUUCGCCUGUGACGAAGCGUGAGUGACGGUAAUGGGUAAAGAAGCACCGGCUAACUACGUG